AGAGUUUGAUCCUGGCUCAGAGCGAACGCUGGCGGCAGGCCUAACACAUGCAAGUCGAGCGCCCGUAGCAAUACGGGAGCGGCAGACGGGAGAGUAACACGUGGGAACGUGCCCUUCGGUUCGGAAUAACGCAGGGAAACUUGCGCUAAUACCGGAUACGCCCCUUACGGGGGAAAGAUUUAUCGCCGAAAGAUCGGCCC
Molecule: ribosomal RNA, 200 nt
Filed under: uncultured bacterium
Lineage: Bacteria
Description: partial 16S ribosomal RNA
Rfam family: Bacterial small subunit ribosomal RNA
Source: RNAcentral